UAAUACGUAGGGUGCGAGCGUUGUCCGGAAUUAUUGGGCGUAAAGAGCUCGUAGGCGGUCUGUCGCGUCGAAUGUGAAAACCCGGGGCUCAACUCCGGGCUUGCAUUCGAUACGGGCAGGCUAGAGUUCGGUAGGGGAGUCUGGAAUUCCUGGUGUAGCGGUGAAAUGCGCAGAUAUCAGGAGGAACACCGGUGGCGAAGGCGGGACUCUGGGCCGAUACUGACGCUGAGGAGCGAAAGCGUGGGGAGCGAACAGGAUUAGAUACCCUGGUAGUCCACGCCGUAAACGUUGGGCGCUAGGUGUGGGGGUCCUUCCACGACCUCCGUGCCGCAGCUAACGCAUUAAGCGCCCCGCCUGGGGAGUACGGCCGCAAGGCUAAAACUUAAAGGAAUUGACGG
This 398-nucleotide ribosomal RNA is filed under the name uncultured bacterium. RNAcentral's name for it is "bacterial SSU rRNA". It matches the Rfam family "Bacterial small subunit ribosomal RNA", at positions 521 to 916 of the family's 1533-position model. The record is from RNAcentral.